Molecule: long non-coding RNA, 849 nt
Organism: Cyprinus carpio (common carp)
Lineage: Eukaryota; Metazoa; Chordata; Actinopteri; Cypriniformes; Cyprinidae
Exons: 4
Source: RefSeq, a predicted model, not a curated record
UUGUUUCCUAAAGGUCUUUCCUCAACAGACCAACAGCAUUGAUUGUGGAGUUUUCAUGCUCAUGUAUGCCCUUUACACUGUGCUGAACACUCCAUUCAAUUUCACUUCGCUUGACAUGCCUGCAAUCAGGGAGUGGUGGUGUCUACGUCUAACUGAGCGGUUUGAGACAGAGGGGCAUGGGAAAAGGUUCGCCCACUGGACUGAGGAGGCAAGAUACCUGACUGAAGGGACAUUAUGACCUCUUUACAGGAGUUUUCCAGGAUUAACACAUGACUUGCCACAACAUGUUGUUGCAGAGAGGAACCGAAUGUUGUCCAACCAGGCUCUGGUGGACUUCAUUGUAGCAAGAGGAACCGAAAACCACAUUCAGGUACAUGCAUCAAGAAUGCAUUUUUUUAACUGCAUUCUAAACCAAUAGCUUGUCUAGUAAAUAAACAACUUACACUUACAUGGAAAUGUUUUUAAUGUAAUUUUCAAUUUUCUCUGCACAGUCCAUCAUCAAUGGACAAAAAAAAUCAAAGUGGCUUGACACUUUUUCCAAGUGUUCCAUCAAGAAAGUGCCUGUGCCGUCGUUCACUGACGAUCAGGAGCAAAUUGAUGUUAUCUACACUCACCUGACUUCAGUUCUGGACAGCACACACACACACCCACAGUGACCAGAUCAGAUUCAUUAUGGAUGUCCUUUUUCCAGAGGUAGGUCUUGUGUGUUAGUUGUGCUCUGCAUGCUGUCAUAUUCACAUUGUUUUUAAUGUCAAAUAGUUUAUCCAUAAUGUUAGACCAUUGCUCUAAAAAUAAUAGUUUUGUGCUUAAUAUAGAAAAGGCACUUUUGAUUUUGUUGAAAAAAAAAAA